CCUACGGGUGGCAGCAGUGGGGAAUUGUUCGCAAUGGGCGCAAGCCUGACGACGCAACGCCGCGUGGAGGAUGAAGAUCUUCGGGUCGUAAACUCCUGUCGAAUGGGACGAAUGGGUUGCGGGGUAAUAUCCCGCGACCGUGACGGUACCGUUAAAGGAAACCCCGGCUAACUCCGUGCCAGCAGCCGCGGUAAUACGGGGGGGGUAAGCGUUGUUCGGAAUUACUGGGCGUAAAGGGCUCGUAGGCGGCCAACUAAGUCAGACGUGAAAUCCCUCAGCUUAACUGGGGAACUGCGUCUGAUACUGGAUGGCUUGGAUUCGGGAGAGGGAUGCGGAAUUCCAGGUGUAGCGGUGAAAUGCGUAGAUAUCUGGAGGAACACCGGUGGCGAAGGCGGCAUCCUGGACCGAUAUUGACGCUGAGGAGCGAAAGCCAGGGGAGC
This 440-nucleotide ribosomal RNA is filed under the name uncultured bacterium. Its description in RNAcentral is "bacterial SSU rRNA". It matches the Rfam family "Bacterial small subunit ribosomal RNA", at positions 338 to 769 of the family's 1533-position model. The record is from RNAcentral.